UACAUACACACAUUGGCAAAUUCAUAUGAAAAAUACUCUCACACUUAAUAAAUAUAAUACAGAACAAUUGAAAGAGAAAAAAAUAGAAUGAGAUAAACCAUCAAAUGUCCAAACUAUUGCCGAGUGUAUGAAAGUGCCUGAAAAUAUGC
Molecule: long non-coding RNA, 149 nt
Organism: Octopus sinensis (East Asian common octopus)
Lineage: Eukaryota; Metazoa; Mollusca; Cephalopoda; Octopoda; Octopodidae
Exons: 3
Source: RefSeq, a predicted model, not a curated record